RNAcentral lists this long non-coding RNA (440 nucleotides) under Citrus x clementina. Its description in RNAcentral is "Citrus clementina (C. clementina) long non-coding RNA (CCLE_LNC006783)". The record is from RNAcentral. Lineage: Eukaryota; Viridiplantae; Streptophyta; Magnoliopsida; Sapindales; Rutaceae.
UCGAAAGAGCCUUCCAAAAACGUUAAUAUGCUAAUAUUACAGUAAAUGAUUUUAUUUUUUUCCCUAUUUUCUUUUUUAAUUAUACAUAGGACCAUUACACUCAUUAUGCUUAAACGUUUCCAUUUAUUUCAAGCCCAAUGAGUACAUAGCAGAAGAGAUGUGAAAUCAACAAUCGUAUUUACAAAGGCAUGUUAGGAUUAUGUUUUGCUUCGAUUAUUCUUUGAUUUGACCUAAUAUCGUUAUGGCAUUUAGACUAUAUAUUUAUCUAUAAUUUGUUUCAUAUUAACUCUCUCUUUUUAACUUAAGCGUAGCACACUUGAUAUUUAAUUCUCAUCUUCAUUCAUGCGACCAGUAAUGUUUGACUUUAAACUUUCUGUUUAGUAUUGGGGAGGCUUGUUGUUGUGGUUUUGAAGUGGAAAAAAAAAAAGAAGAAGAGAUAU